This 236-nucleotide long non-coding RNA is filed under the name Homo sapiens (human). RNAcentral's name for it is "LNC_000882". The record is from RNAcentral. Lineage: Eukaryota; Metazoa; Chordata; Mammalia; Primates; Hominidae.
GGGGGCCAGGGGUGGUGGGGCUGGGGGCGGGCAGGGCGAGCAGGGACAGACGCCUGACGCUGGGGGUAUGGCUGAGCGCAUCGGGGGCCUUCUGGGCGAUGCUGGAUGCCGUGUAGCUCUCAGCCAUGCCUGACACCUGGCUGGCGAUGCUGAUCUCACUGGCUCGGCGGAAGCCACGACUGGCAGGGGCAGUGCCCGGCGAGGAGGGGGCGCCAUGCUCUUGGAAGGCUGCAUUG